GCUGCGCCAAGGACAGGCGCUGCCGCCCGCAGCUCGCCUCGCGCCGCAGCCCCUGCCCGCCGGGCAGCCGCGCACACAGACGGCCACAGGGCCACUGCUUCGGCAGGCCCUUGCUCACAGGGGUGGUUUUCCUUUUAUUGGGACAUGCAGUGUGGAUGUCAAGGUGAACGUGAGCCAGCACCGUGCCCUGCAGGAAGAAUAGUUCUGGUCCUGAAGUAAAUUAACCAAGUUCAUUCCAUCUGAAUUGUGUAGGUCAGGUGGUAAUUGCACGGAACAUCAUUCCACUGCCCAUUCUCAUGCCAUAUUAUAACAACACAGUCUUCUCCAGCAGAAAAGAAACUAUCAGAUGUUUGCCUUGCCAAGAUGAAUCUCCAACCUAGCACUUAGACAUUUCAGCCCUCCCUUUAUCUCCAAAGGGUGCACCAAGUGGCUUAGAUCAAUGGCUGGGUUCUGCAUUCCAGAACAGUCAUCAAACACCAUGUUUAAUGAACACAGCUACUGAUGCAAACAAAACAUUACUGCUUGAGCCACUAAUUGUGUAAAGGCCAACAAUCUCUUGUACAUAACUAGAGCUAGGAAGCAGCUUAUUUCAAAUACAUCUACUAUUUAGAUUUAUAGGCUUAAUGUCUUUACUUCAGGAUUAAGGAAGCAUUUUUUCAGCAUGUUUAAAUGAGCUUAAAGCAUAAACUUGUCUUGGCAACCUUUGGCACUUGUAAUGUUCACCAUGAUUUUUAUUUUAUUUCACUUUGGCUGCUUCCCUAUCUGAUUGCUUCGUAAUGCAAGAUUAAUGAGGCUAAACAAUAAAACGUACAAAAAAAAAAAAAAAACCCAAAAAAACAAGCAGUGAUGUAGGGACUCAGCUGACUGGAUGUUCUCUAUGCCAUUUCAUCUUAAGUGAAGCACAACAUCAUUAAACCAUUUUAAUCACCACGGCAAAGCUUAUUGGCUGCUGUCUCUAUUUUUUUUCCACAAUUUUGGUAUAGAACAGGAAUAUACUUUUUCAUAAUAGCAGGCAAAUUCCUAGAAGUCUUCUUCAGAAAAGCCUUGUGAACAUGUCCCUCACUGUUGAGGUUCUAACUGGAUUGCAAGUCCCAGUUAUUACCCUGCUUUAUAGGUUGUCUGAAUGACAACAGACAAGGGUACAAUGAGUAUAUGGAUCAUCUCAGGAAUCCUUGGCUUGUGGUUCAUGCUGUUAGGCAGCACCGAUACUGUUAUACGAGAUAUUCACAGGAAGUGAAAGGCAUUGCGUUUCCUUUCAACAGAAAAAAAUCAAACAGAUUACUGUGAGGAUUUGGCAAUGAAUAAAAUGCUUACAUUAACUUCACCUAGUAUUUAAAUACAUUUAUACAUUGAGAAAAACAUACUUUACAGCAUAGGCUCUGUUUCACUUCAUUUCACCCUAGUCCUGAAAAAGAUUUUAUGAAUGGGAGUAGUUUGAUAGAACUCACCAAGAGUAUUCAUAAGACUAAAAAUUCCAUUCAGUGGAUGUUUAAGCACAGGCCUUGCUUUAAAGCCAUGGGUGGUGUCCUAAACUCCGUAGGGUAGAUCCCGUGCAUACUUCAAGCACUUGCUAAAAUAACACACUGAAAGAGGGAUUGGGCUAACAAAGCUGGCAAGUCUCUGCUGGGAGAAAUUUGCGUCAAUUUGAAGACAACAGCUAUGUCUAAACUUGCCUAUGAGCACACAAGAUAAAUCACACGUCAUGACCCCAUAUUCUGAAUAUUUAGAUCAUAGUUGAAUGGCCACCGUCAGACCCUUAAUCUGGGCUUUUUUUCACGAGAUUUGGGAAACAUACAGAAUUUGGAUCGGGCAGGCAUGCAGUCCUCCCCAUUGCAGUUACUCUGUGAGC
Numida meleagris (helmeted guineafowl) is the source of this 1849-nucleotide long non-coding RNA. RefSeq lists it as uncharacterized. The transcript has 4 exons. Lineage: Eukaryota; Metazoa; Chordata; Aves; Galliformes; Numididae. The record is from RefSeq and is a predicted model, not a curated record.